Molecule: ribosomal RNA, 330 nt
Filed under: Triticum aestivum (bread wheat)
Lineage: Eukaryota; Viridiplantae; Streptophyta; Magnoliopsida; Poales; Poaceae
Description: partial small subunit ribosomal RNA
Source: RNAcentral
AUGGCCGUCGGGCGCUGGGUGCUUCCUGGUGUGCCGUGGACAGAGCGUCGGAGGACUUUGUCAUUGGACGGGCGUCGCGCUCAAGACAUUGUUGCGCCUUCAAAUGCGUCAGAGAUCUCUCCGCUGUUGCGGACUCCUACUCCGCUGCUUCCAGCGUGGAGUGCGCGCGUUGCUAGGGUCGUCGUCACCACCACCAGAACAGGCGUCGCGAGCAUGUCGGUGCAGAUCCUAGAGCCGGACUUACAAUGUACGCCGCUGCCAGUGCAGGCUUUUGAGCCGGCCGCGCAAGCGCAGCACUUCGCGCCUCUGGUGCCCGCGGUGAUCAACUAA